This 206-nucleotide ribosomal RNA is filed under the name Bacteroidota bacterium. RNAcentral's name for it is "partial 16S ribosomal RNA". It matches the Rfam family "Bacterial small subunit ribosomal RNA", at positions 1320 to 1533 of the family's 1533-position model. The record is from RNAcentral. Lineage: Bacteria; Pseudomonadati; Bacteroidota.
GUGAAGCUGGAUUCGCUAGUAAUCGCGCAUCAGCCAUGGCGCGGUGAAUACGUUCCCGGGCCUUGUACACACCGCCCGUCAAGCCAUGAAAGCCGGGGGCGCCUGAAGUCCGUGACCGAGAGGAGCGGCCUAGGGCGAAACUGGUUAUUGGGGCUAAGUCGUAACAAGGUAGCCGUACCGGAAGGUGUGGCUGGAACACCUCCUUU